GAACUCGGAAUGGAUCCUUCUCCCCGUUGUAACCGGUCUCCCCGCAAACUUUGCAAGUUGUACUGAAAGGGAGGGAGGAGGAGGUAGCUCUACACGUGUCUCACCUUGUGGAGACACUAUAGAUGGCUCCGUAGCUUCUCUUUCCGCAAGUUGGAUCCGUGAGACCCUCCCGGAUCGCUUGGCUACGGCUCUUUUGGGUCCCAUU
Molecule: long non-coding RNA, 205 nt
Filed under: Phoenix dactylifera (date palm)
Lineage: Eukaryota; Viridiplantae; Streptophyta; Magnoliopsida; Arecales; Arecaceae
Description: long non-coding RNA (PDAC_LNC004588)
Source: RNAcentral